Molecule: small RNA, 28 nt
Filed under: Bombyx mori (domestic silkworm)
Lineage: Eukaryota; Metazoa; Arthropoda; Insecta; Lepidoptera; Bombycidae
Description: ovarian small RNA-16725
Source: RNAcentral
GCCUCACGGAACGCCUAGACCAGGUCAC